Molecule: ribosomal RNA, 596 nt
Filed under: uncultured Entrophospora
Lineage: Eukaryota; Fungi; Glomeromycota; Glomeromycetes; Entrophosporales; Entrophosporaceae
Description: eukaryotic LSU rRNA
Rfam family: Eukaryotic large subunit ribosomal RNA
Source: RNAcentral
AAAAGAAACUAACAAGGAUUCCCCUAGUAACGGCGAGUGAAGAGGGAAGAGCUCAAAUUUUAAAUCUGCCUUGUUUCAAGGUCGAGUUGUAAUUUGAAGAUGCGUUUUCUCGGGCCCGCACCGGUAGAAGUUCUCUUGGAACAGGGCAUCAUAGAGGGUGAUAAUCCCGUCUGUGACCGGUCGCGAGUUCGUAUACGAUACGCACUCUAAGAGUCGAGUUGUUUGGGAUUGCAGCUCAAAACGGGUGGUAAACAUCACCUAAGGCUAAAUAUUGGCGAGAGACCGAUAGCGAACAAGUACCGUGAGGGAAAGAUGAAAAGAACUUUGAAAAGAGAGUUAAACAGUACGUGAAAUUGUUGAAAGGGAAACGCUUGAAGUCAGUCGUGCUGGCAUGAAAUCAACCGUUGCGCUAGUAAGUUGUCUGCGGGUGAGCUAAAAACCAUCGCGUUGAGAUUUUUGCGUGCGCAGCGGUGCACUUUUGUGUCAGCUGGUUAGCAUCAAUUUCGACCGUCAUAAAAAGGCUGGGGGGAUGUGGCUCCUUCGGGAGUGUUAUAACCCUUAGCGGAAUGUGGUGGACGAGAUUGAGGUUUGCAACG